AAUAGAUACCCAGGUAGUCCACGCCGUAAACGAUGAGUGCUAAGUGUUAGAGGGUUUCCGCCCUUUAGUGCUGCAGCUAACGCAUUAAGCACUCCGCCUGGGGAGUACGGUCGCAAGACUGAAACUCAAAGGAAUUGACGGGGGCCCGCACAAGCGGUGGAGCAUGUGGUUUAAUUCGAAGCAACGCGAAGAACCUUACCAGGUCUUGACAUCCUCUGACAACUCUAAAGAUAGAGCGUUCCCCUUCGGGGGACAGAGUGACAGGUGGUGCAUGGUUGUCGUCAGCUCGUGUCGUGAGAUGUUGGGUUAAGUCCCGCAACGAGCGCAACCCUUGAUCUUAGUUGCCAGCAUUCAGUUGGGCACUCUAAGGUGACUGCCGGUGACAAACCGGAGGAAGGUGGGGAUGACGUCAAAUCAUCAUGCCCCUUAUGACCUGGGCUACACACGUGCUACAAUGGAUGGUACAAAGGGCUGCAAGACCGCGAGGUCAAGCCAAUCCCAUAAAACCAUUCUCAGUUCGGAUUGU
This 526-nucleotide ribosomal RNA is filed under the name uncultured bacterium. Its description in RNAcentral is "bacterial SSU rRNA". It matches the Rfam family "Bacterial small subunit ribosomal RNA", at positions 777 to 1301 of the family's 1533-position model. The record is from RNAcentral.